ACUGACAACGAUCAACAAGUAUUUCCUUGCCCGGUAGGGUUAGGGUAAUCUUUUGAAAUCGUGUCGUGCUAGGGAUAGACGAUUGCAAUUAUUCGUCUUCAACGAGGAAUUCCUAGUAAAUGCAAGUCAUCAGCUUGCGUUGAUUACGUCCCUGCCCUUUGUACACACCGCCCCGUCGCUCCUACCGAUUGAGUGAUCCGGUGAGCUGUCCGGACUGCGAUUAGUUCAGUUUCUGUUCUCUUCGCGGGAAGUUCUGCAAACCUUAUCACUUAGAGGAAGGAGAAGUCGUAACAAGGUUUCCGUAGGUGAACCUGCGGAAGGAUCAUUC
Molecule: non-coding RNA, 328 nt
Filed under: Perkinsus marinus ATCC 50983
Lineage: Eukaryota; Perkinsozoa; Perkinsida; Perkinsidae
Description: Eukaryotic small subunit ribosomal RNA
Rfam family: Eukaryotic small subunit ribosomal RNA
Source: Rfam by way of RNAcentral